GACGAACGCUGGCGGCGUGCCUAAUACAUGCAAGUAGAACGCUGAAGAGAGGAGCUUGCUCUUCUUGGAUGAGUUGCGAACGGGUGAGUAACGCGUAGGUAACCUGCCUUGUAGCGGGGGAUAACUAUUGGAAACGAUAGCUAAUACCGCAUAACAAUGGAUGACACAUGUCAUUUAUUUGAAAGGGGCAAUUGCUCCACUACAAGAUGGACCUGCGUUGUAUUAGCUAGUAGGUGAGGUAACGGCUCACCUAGGCGACGAUACAUAGCCGACCUGAGAGGGUGAUCGGCCAAACUGGGACUGAGACACGGCCCAGACUCCUACGGGAGGCAGCAGUAGGGAAUCUUCGGCAAUGGGGGCAACCCUGACCGAGCAACGCCGCGUGAGUGAAGAAGGUUUUCGGAUCGUAAAGCUCUGUUGUAAGUCAAGAACGAGUGUGAGAGUGGAAAGUUCACACUGUGACGGUAGCUUACCAGAAAGGGACGGCUAACUACGUG
RNAcentral lists this ribosomal RNA (497 nucleotides) under uncultured bacterium. RNAcentral's name for it is "partial 16S ribosomal RNA". It matches the Rfam family "Bacterial small subunit ribosomal RNA", at positions 28 to 507 of the family's 1533-position model. The record is from RNAcentral.